This 115-nucleotide small nucleolar RNA is filed under the name Erinaceus europaeus (western European hedgehog). RNAcentral's name for it is "Small nucleolar RNA SNORA70 (ENSEEUG00000022321.1)". It matches the Rfam family "Small nucleolar RNA SNORA70". Rfam says of the family: snoRNA U70 seems to be exclusive to mammals and is a member of the H/ACA class of snoRNA which contain H (ANANNA) and ACA box motifs. H/ACA box snoRNAs are involved in the conversion of uridines to pseudouridines (5-ribosyluracil) a constituent of structural RNAs (transfer, ribosomal, small nuclear, and small nucleolar). Lineage: Eukaryota; Metazoa; Chordata; Mammalia; Eulipotyphla; Erinaceidae. The record is from Rfam by way of RNAcentral.
UUGCAGCAAAUUAAGCCAAUCUCCCUUCCUCAUGGGGCCAGUGUGCAAUGGCUACAAGUAGCAGCCUCCUUGAUAAUGCCUGUGUGAGAGCUACCCUAAGAAACUGGAAUCAGUC